AACGCGAAGAACCUUACCUGGGUUUGACAUCUCCGGACAACCGUAGAGAUACGGCUUUCGUAGCAAUACGACCGGAAGACAGGUGCUGCAUGGCUGUCGUCAGCUCGUGUGGUGACAUGUUGGGUUAAGUCCCGCAACGAGCGCAACCCUUAUCUUUAGUUGCCAGCAUUCAGUUGGGCUCUCUAGAGAGACUGCCGUGGUGAACACGGAGGAAGGUGGGGAUGACGUCAAGUCCUCAUGGCCUUUAUAUCCAGGGCGACACACGUGAUACAAUGGACGGUACAGAGGGACGCGAAACCGCGAGGUGGAGCAAAUCUCAAAAAGCCGUUCUCAGUUCGGAUUGGAGUCUGCAACUCGACUCCAUGAAGUUGGAAUCGCUAGUAAUCGCGGAUCAGCACGCCGCGGUGAAUACGUUCCCGGGCCUUGUACACACCGACGCAC
This 441-nucleotide ribosomal RNA is filed under the name uncultured bacterium. RNAcentral describes it as "bacterial SSU rRNA". It matches the Rfam family "Bacterial small subunit ribosomal RNA", at positions 958 to 1398 of the family's 1533-position model. The record is from RNAcentral.